CAGUUAGUUGGCGGGGUAAUGGCCCACCAAGACAGUGAUCUGUAUCCGGCCUGAGAGGGCGCACGGACACACUGGAACUGAAACACGGUCCAGACUCCUACGGGAGGCAGCAGUGGGGAAUUUUGCGCAAUGGGGGAAACCCUGACGCAGCAACGCCGCGUGGAGGAUGAAGCCCCUUGGGGCGUAAACUCCUUUCGAUCGGGAAGAUAAUGACGGUACCGGAAGAAGAAGCCCCGGCUAACUUCGUGCCAGCAGCCGCGGUAAUACGAGGGGGGCGAGCGUUGUUCGGAAUUAUUGGGCGUAAAGGGCGCGUAGGCGGUUGGACAGGUCUUGUGUGAAAUCUUCAGGCUCAACUUGAAGUCUGCACGGGAAACUGUCCGGCUAGAGUAUGGGAGAGGUGCGUGGAAUUUCCGGUGUAGCGGUGAGAUGCGUAGAUAUCGGAAGGAACACCUGUGGCGAAAGCGGCGCACUGGACCAUAACUGACGCUGAGGCGCGAAAGCUAGGGGAGCAAACAGGAUUAGAUACCCUGGUAGUCCUAGCCCUAAACGAUGAUUGCUUGGUGUGACGGGUAUCCAAUCCCGCCCU
This 586-nucleotide ribosomal RNA is filed under the name uncultured Acidobacteriota bacterium. RNAcentral's name for it is "SSU rRNA". It matches the Rfam family "Bacterial small subunit ribosomal RNA", at positions 242 to 844 of the family's 1533-position model. The record is from RNAcentral. Lineage: Bacteria; Pseudomonadati; Acidobacteriota.